This 253-nucleotide ribosomal RNA is filed under the name uncultured bacterium. RNAcentral's name for it is "partial 16S ribosomal RNA". It matches the Rfam family "Bacterial small subunit ribosomal RNA", at positions 524 to 776 of the family's 1533-position model. The record is from RNAcentral.
UACGUAUGGUGCAAGCGUUAUCCGGAUUUACUGGGUGUAAAGGGAGCGCAGGCGGCACGGCAAGCCUGAUGUGAAAGCCCGCGGCCCAACCGCGGGACUGCAUUGGGAACUACCGGGCUGGAGUGCCGGAGAGGUAGGCGGAAUUCCUAGUGUAGCGGUGAAAUGCGUAGAUAUUAGGAGGAACACCAGUGGCGAAGGCGGCCUACUGGGCGGUGACUGACGCUGAGGCUCGAAAGCGUGGGGAGCAAACAGG